This 478-nucleotide ribosomal RNA is filed under the name Bacillus sp. (in: firmicutes). RNAcentral describes it as "bacterial SSU rRNA". It matches the Rfam family "Bacterial small subunit ribosomal RNA", at positions 19 to 490 of the family's 1533-position model. Lineage: Bacteria; Bacillati; Bacillota; Bacilli; Caryophanales; Bacillaceae. The record is from RNAcentral.
AUGGCUCAGGACGAACGCUGGCGGCGUGCCUAAUACAUGCAAGUCGAGCGGACAGAUGGGAGCUUGCUCCCUGAUGUUAGCGGCGGACGGGUGAGUAACACGUGGGUAACCUGCCUGUAAGACUGGGAUAACUCCGGGAAACCGGGGCUAAUACCGGAUGGUUGUUUGAACCGCAUGGUUCAAACAUAAAAGGUGGCUUCGGCUACCACUUACAGAUGGACCCGCGGCGCAUUAGCUAGUUGGUGAGGUAACGGCUCACCAAGGCAACGAUGCGUAGCCGACCUGAGAGGGUGAUCGGCCACACUGGGACUGAGACACGGCCCAGACUCCUACGGGAGGCAGCAGUAGGGAAUCUUCCGCAAUGGACGAAAGUCUGACGGAGCAACGCCGCGUGAGUGAUGAAGGUUUUCGGAUCGUAAAGCUCUGUUGUUAGGGAAGAACAAGUACCGUUCGAAUAGGGCGGUACCUGACGUACCUA